Molecule: ribosomal RNA, 426 nt
Filed under: Megaselia infraposita
Lineage: Eukaryota; Metazoa; Arthropoda; Insecta; Diptera; Phoridae
Description: partial 16S ribosomal RNA
Source: RNAcentral
UUUUUGAAUUUAAUUUAAAGUCUAACCUGCCCACUGAAUUUUUUAAAUGGCCGCAGUAUUCUAACUGUGCAAAGGGAGCAUAAUCAUUAGUCUUUUAAUUGAAGGGUGGAAUGAAUGGUUGGAUGAAAUAUUAACUGUUUCAUAUAAAUUUAUAAUAAAAUUUUAUUUUUUAGUUAAAAAGCUAAAAUUUAAUUAAAAGACGAGAAGACCCUAUAAAUCUUUAUAUUUUUUUUUAUUUUAAUUAUUUAGAUAAAUUUAAUUAUAAUAAUUUUAAAUAUUUUAUUGGGGUGAUAUUAAAAUUUAAAAAACUUUUAAUUUUAUAAUAACAUAAAUUAAUGAAUUUUUGAUCCAUAAAUUAUGAUUAAAAAAUUAAGUUACUUUAGGGAUAACAGCGUAAUUUUUUUAGAGAGUUCAUAUUGAUAAAAA